This 253-nucleotide ribosomal RNA is filed under the name uncultured bacterium. RNAcentral's name for it is "partial 16S ribosomal RNA". It matches the Rfam family "Bacterial small subunit ribosomal RNA", at positions 524 to 776 of the family's 1533-position model. The record is from RNAcentral.
UACGGGGGGGGUAAGCGUUGUUCGGAAUUACUGGGCGUAAAGGGCUCGUAGGCGGCCAACUAAGUCAGACGUGAAAUCCCUCAGCUUAACUGGGGAACUGCGUCUGAUACUGGAUGGCUUGGAUUUGGGAGAGGGAUGCGGAAUUCCAGGUGUAGCGGUGAAAUGCGCAGAUAUCAGGAGGAACACCGGUGGCGAAGGCGGGUCUCUGGGCCGUAACUGACGCUGAGGAGCGAAAGCGUGGGGAGCGAACAGG